RNAcentral lists this ribosomal RNA (492 nucleotides) under uncultured bacterium. RNAcentral's name for it is "partial 16S ribosomal RNA". It matches the Rfam family "Bacterial small subunit ribosomal RNA", at positions 29 to 507 of the family's 1533-position model. The record is from RNAcentral.
AGUGAACGCUGGCGGUAGGCCUAACACAUGCCAGUCGAACGGCAGCACAGUAAGAGCUUGCUCUUACGGGUGGCGAGUGGCGGACGGGUGAGGAAUACAUCGGAAUCUACUUUUUCGUGGGGGAUAACGUAGGGAAACUUACGCUAAUACCGCAUACGACCUACGGGUGAAAGCAGGGGAUCUUCGGACCUUGCGCGAUUGAAUGAGCCGAUGUCGGAUUAGCUAGUUGGCGGGGUAAAGGCCCACCAAGGCGACGAUCCGUAGCUGGUCUGAGAGGAUGAUCAGCCACACUGGAACUGAGACACGGUCCAGACUCCUACGGGAGGCAGCAGUGGGGAAUAUUGGACAAUGGGCGCAAGCCUGAUCCAGCCAUACCGCGUGGGUGAAGAAGGCCUUCAGGUUGUAAAGCCCUUUUGUUGGGAAAGAAAAGCAGCAGGUUAAUACCCCGCUGUUCUGACGGUACCCAAAGAAUAAGCACCGGCUAACUUCGUG